RNAcentral lists this ribosomal RNA (167 nucleotides) under Erica carnea. RNAcentral describes it as "5.8S ribosomal RNA". It matches the Rfam family "5.8S ribosomal RNA". Rfam says of the family: 5.8S ribosomal RNA (5.8S rRNA) is a component of the large subunit of the eukaryotic ribosome. Lineage: Eukaryota; Viridiplantae; Streptophyta; Magnoliopsida; Ericales; Ericaceae. The record is from RNAcentral.
CUAAACGACUCUCGGCAACGGAUAUCUCGGCUCUUGCAUCGAUGAAGAACGUAGCGAAAUGCGAUACUUGGUGUGAAUUGCAGAAUCCCGUGAACCAUCGAGUCUUUGAACGCAAGUUGCGCCUGAAGCCGUCAGGUUGAAGGCACGUCUGCCUGGGCGUCACGCAU